GGGACAACAUUCUUUGCUUGUUUAGAAAUUGAGUCCUGGCUUUGUUAAGGAUGGAAUUUGGCGACUUGUACAUUCUCUUAUCAGUUCCAGAUACACGAUGCUGAGAAGCUGGGAGAUUCUUCUUCGGUGUGAAACCAAAUACAUCAUGAAGAAACUCAUUUUCCUGCAUAUGCUUCACAAAUCCUCCUCCAAGGAAGUGCUUAAGGAAGUUUAACUGUAUCAGAUGAGCCCAAGUACUUGUGCUAAGCAAUAGCCCACCAAUCUUGACUGAGGUUUCGGGACUAUACCCAUCCUCUAGAAAUUCCAAUAUAUCUCGG
Molecule: unclassified non-coding RNA, 317 nt
Filed under: Hevea brasiliensis (rubber tree)
Lineage: Eukaryota; Viridiplantae; Streptophyta; Magnoliopsida; Malpighiales; Euphorbiaceae
Source: RNAcentral